AUUGAACGCUGGCGGCAGGCCUAACACAUGCAAGUCGAGCGGAUGAAGGGAGCUUGCUCCUGGAUUCAGCGGCGGACGGGUGAGUGAUGCCUAGGAAUCUGCCUGGUAGUGGGGGAUAACGUCCGGAAACGGGCGCUAAUACCGCAUACGUCCUGAGGGAGAAAGUGGGGGAUCUUCGGACCUCACGCUAUCAGAUGAGCCUAGGUCGGAUUAGCUAGUUGGUGGGGUAAAGGCCUACCAAGGCGACGAUCCGUAACUGGUCUGAGAGGAUGAUCAGUCACACUGGAACUGAGACACGGUCCAGACUCCUACGGGAGGCAGCAGUGGGGAAUAUUGGACAAAGGGCGAAAGCCUGAUCCAGCCAUGCCGCGUGUGUGAAGAAGGUCUUCGGAUUGUAAAGCACUUUAAGUUGGGAGGAAGGGCAGUAAGUUAAUACCUUGCUGUUUUGACGUUACCAACAGAAUAAGCACCGGCUAACUUCGUG
RNAcentral lists this ribosomal RNA (484 nucleotides) under uncultured bacterium. RNAcentral describes it as "partial 16S ribosomal RNA". It matches the Rfam family "Bacterial small subunit ribosomal RNA", at positions 30 to 507 of the family's 1533-position model. The record is from RNAcentral.